GAUGAACGCUGGCGGCGUGCCUAAUACAUGCAAGUCGAGCGAACAGACGAGGAGCUUGCUCCUCUGACGUUAGCGGCGGACGGGUGAGUAACACGUGGAUAACCUACCUAUAAGACUGGGAUAACUUCGGGAAACCGGAGCUAAUACCGGAUAAUAUAUUGAACCGCAUGGUUCAAUAGUGAAAGACGGUUUUGCUGUCACUUAUAGAUGGAUCCGCGCCGCAUUAGCUAGUUGGUAAGGUAACGGCUUACCAAGGCAACGAUGCGUAGCCGACCUGAGAGGGUGAUCGGCCACACUGGAACUGAGACACGGUCCACACUCCUACGGGAGGCAGCAGUAGGGACUCUUCCGCAAUGGGCGAAAGCCUGACGGAGCACCGCCGCGUGAGUGAUGAAGGUCUUCGGAUCGUAAAACUCUGUUAUUCGGGAAGAACAAAUGUGUAAGUAACUAUGCACGUCUUGACGGUACCUAAUCAGAAAGCCACGGCUAACUCCGUG
This 497-nucleotide ribosomal RNA is filed under the name uncultured bacterium. RNAcentral's name for it is "partial 16S ribosomal RNA". It matches the Rfam family "Bacterial small subunit ribosomal RNA", at positions 28 to 507 of the family's 1533-position model. The record is from RNAcentral.